This 470-nucleotide unclassified non-coding RNA is filed under the name Hevea brasiliensis (rubber tree). Lineage: Eukaryota; Viridiplantae; Streptophyta; Magnoliopsida; Malpighiales; Euphorbiaceae. The record is from RNAcentral.
ACUUUUUAUUCUCCUCUUGAUCUUGAGUCGCCCCCACCCCCAUAUUCCCCCAAAGAAUCCUAGGUGUAACAUGACAAAUUCAUUUAAAAUGUACUGCAAAAACAACAAAAUAAUAGAGUCAGCAUGUUAAAAAUCAAUAAAAAAAAUGUAAGAAUAAGAGUGAUAAAAUCACCAAAAGGGGACCUAUAGACCUAAUUUGUCAUAGACAUUAUAUUUCAUUAAUUCCUAUAGCACAUGAUAAAAAUAAGUCCAACAUGGCAUUAAAAAUCAAUGGCAUCCACAAAAAAGAAAUUCCCAGUUAGGAGAACAAGUGAUAGAAAUUCUUGGUUCUAGAGAAUUAUAUUGCCAAUUAUGUGAGCACAGUUGCCACAAUCCAUAUUCUUACUUAUUAAGCAACAUCCAUCCAUUUGUGAACCAAAGAAGAAAGCUUACAAACUGAUACCAACCUGAUAGGUAUAGAGUUUAACAUA